RNAcentral lists this transfer RNA (66 nucleotides) under Metcalfa pruinosa. RNAcentral's name for it is "tRNA-Pro". Lineage: Eukaryota; Metazoa; Arthropoda; Insecta; Hemiptera; Flatidae. The record is from RNAcentral.
CAGUAAGUAUUUUAAAAAAAAUUUUAGUUUUGGAGACUAAAGAUGGGGUUCUUUUCUUCUUACUGA